CUCUUUAAUUUAAAGUAAUGUAAACCAUAAUGAUAAGUAAAAUCUAUUAACAAGCAAUUAGAGAAAUGGCAAACUAAAACUCACAUAUUUUAGAAACUAAGUUGAAAUUUUGGUCAGUGUUAUCCUACCCAAGAAGACUUGCUGGCCUGUUAUUUGUGAUUACUUUGUUUUCUGUUGCAACUGAAACCUAGCCCUUCUCCUAAUGACAGUCUCCUCAUAGAUCUCGACAGACAGUUGUCCCCUCAUCUCACAGCGCUUGAGUAUGCCAUAAACAACCGUCCCCUUCUCUUUGCCAGCCUCACCGCUGUUACUGAGUCCAUCAUCACCCGGAUCACAUUUCCGUCUUUAACAGGAUUUGUGCUGUGAAGCAAGAAUUGUUUUCCAGACUAUGGAGGAGCAUGUGGCAUCCCAUACAUUGUUCGAUUUUAGCCUGGACCAGCUCUGCCUCAUUUCUGAAGUUAUAAAGCCCCCAAAGCAUUCUUUAGUCACAAUUCUUUGCAGUCAGUACUCCCUCUUGCCCCCAGCAGUUCCCAGGUUUGGCACUCACUCUAAUCUCCAGUCUCUCAUUUCCUGCCUUUGCCCUGUGUAUAAAUCUCAUUUGUUCCCCAUGUAGCCUAGACUUCCACUGUAUUAUUAACUACCACUUUCUUUAUUACUCACUAUGUUUUAUUAAUAAUCACAAAAAUAACAUUUAUUAAGUAUGUAUCGGGUAGGAUUAACUUAAGAAUAGUUGAUCAAGGGACAGAGUUUGAGCUGAUCUGUGUGAGGAAUGCUGAGAAAUAAUUGCUUCAACCUCAUUUGAAAUUUUUAUUGUCACUUUUUUUCUAGACAUCAGAAUAAAUAUUUUUAAAAAUGUGUCAUUGAGAAAAGAUCCUGAAUUCUACAUUCUUUCUUCCAUCAUUGUAAGCGGCCAUUUACUAUGUAGUUGCAUAUGCACUUGUCAGAUAUUGAGAAACCAAUGAGUGAAUGAAGAGGAGUCUCAUGGAGUUGGAAGAGAUUAUUAAUCAUGCUGGAAUGAGUCAAUGUGGGAGUACUUCACGGACUGUGGAGCUGAUCUUUCACCUACAUCUUUCUGUCUCCAUCUUUAAAGGGACACCAUCAAGAGAGAUGAUCUAUUUGCUGGCCUAUUGCCCAAAAAUCCACCAAAUCCAUGGUUGGACCAGGCCUAAACCAAGAUGCUGGUAAUCAACCCAGGUGUCCCACAUGAAUGCCAUGGACCUAAGUACUUGAGUCCACCUGUUGCAUCAUGCACAUCAACAGAAAGUUGGAUUGGAAGCAGAAUAACCAGGACUUGAACCAGGUACUCUGCUGACAUAAAAUGUAGGUAUCCCAAGUGGUGAUUUAACACUUGUGCUACAAGUGUUAGAUUUAUAGGAAAAUUACAGGGAUGUUACUAAGAACUCUUUCAUACCCCUCAUACAUUUCUCCCUCUCAUUAGCAUGGCACAUUGUUCACAACUAGUGAACCAGUAUGGUUAUAUCAUUUGUAACCAAUGUCCAUAUCCUUUUCAGAUUUUUUUAAUUCUUUUUAAAAAUGUAAUGCUGCUAUUCGCUUGCAAUAUCCCUUGUAAACUAGAUUUAUUCAUCAAGUCUCAAUCUCUCUUGAUGACUUUGAAAGUUUUGAUGCAAACUGCUCAGAUAUUUGACGCAAUUUCCAGGGUUGGAAUUUUCUGAUACCUUUCUUGUGACUAGACUGGAGUUAUGUGUUCUGAGAGGAAGACCACAGUGGUGAAUUGCCAUCCUCAACAUAUCGUAUCAGGAUAUAUAGUAUCAAUGUGAUACCACUUUCUUACUAAUCUUGAUCACCUGAUGUAGUGUUUGUCAAGUUUCUCCACUCUAAAGUUACUCUUUCCUCCACUUCUCAUGCUCCAGGAAAGGAAAUCACUGUGUAGAACCUACACUUCACCUCCCACUUAAGGGUACACUAUAUACCUGAAUUACUUGAGCUGUUUUAUUUGAUAUUCUUCUAUAUAUGAAAUUUGUCUCUUUUGUUGUAUUAUUCAUGCAAUCAUUUAUUGAAAGUAAUAUGUAUUCAUAUUUAUUUAUCCAAUGGGUUAUAAUGCAAUACUAUAUUUUAUUGUGCACAUUGUUCCAGCUUUAGAUAUGCCAAUUGUCUCAGCAGCAAAGAUGCCACUUGGGGCUCUGUCAUCUCAUAUCAGUAUGCUUGGUUUUGAAUCCUUGUUCCAUUCCUGAUUUCAGGUUCUUGUUAAUGCACAUCCUAAGUGAUAGCUCAAGUUCUUGGGGCCCUGCUACCUCCAUGACAGACCCAAUUUGAGUUCUGGAAUCCUGGUUUUAGCCUGGUCUAGCCCUGGAUGUUGUGGGCAUUUGGGGAAUGAACUGCAUAUGAGAUCUGCCUACCUGCCCGCCUGCCUGCCUGCCUGCCUUCUAUCCUUCCA
Non-coding RNA from Oryctolagus cuniculus (rabbit), 2395 nucleotides. The record is from RefSeq and is a predicted model, not a curated record. NCBI's taxonomy places the organism in Eukaryota, Metazoa, Chordata, Mammalia, Lagomorpha, Leporidae.